RNAcentral lists this ribosomal RNA (425 nucleotides) under uncultured bacterium. RNAcentral's name for it is "partial 16S ribosomal RNA". It matches the Rfam family "Bacterial small subunit ribosomal RNA", at positions 354 to 796 of the family's 1533-position model. The record is from RNAcentral.
GUGGGGAAUCUUGCGCAAUGGGCGAAAGCCUGACGCAGCCAUGCCGCGUGAAUGAUGAAGGUCUUAGGAUUGUAAAAUUCUUUCACCGGGGACGAUAAUGACGGUACCCGGAGAAGAAGCUCCGGCUAACUUCGUGCCAGCAGCCGCGGUAAUACGAAGGGGGCUAGCGUUGCUCGGAAUUACUGGGCGUAAAGGGCGCGUAGGCGGACAGCUUAGUCAGAGGUGAAAGCCCAGGGCUCAACCUUGGAAUUGCCUUUGAUACUGGCUGUCUUGAGUUUGGGAGAGGUGAGUGGAACUCCGGAUGUAGAGGCGAAAUUCGUAGAUAUUCGGAAGAACACCAGUGGCGAAGGCGACUCACUGGCCCAAGACUGACGCUGAGGCGCGAAAGCGUGGGGAGCAAACAGGAUUAGAUACCCCUGUAGUCC